UACAGAGGGGGCAAGCGUUGUUCGGAAUUACUGGGCGUAAAGGGCGCGUAGGCGGCCAACUAAGUCGGACGUGAAAUCCCCAGGCUCAACCUGGAAACUGCGUCCGAUACUGGAUGGCUUGAAUCCGGGAGAGGGAUGCAGAAUUCCAGGUGUAGCGGUGAAAUGCGUAGAUAUCUGGAGGAAUACCGGUGGCGAAGGCGGCAGCCUGGACCGGCAUUGACGCUGAGGAGCGAAAGCCAGGGGAGCAAACGGG
RNAcentral lists this ribosomal RNA (253 nucleotides) under uncultured bacterium. RNAcentral's name for it is "partial 16S ribosomal RNA". It matches the Rfam family "Bacterial small subunit ribosomal RNA", at positions 524 to 776 of the family's 1533-position model. The record is from RNAcentral.